Molecule: transfer RNA, 74 nt
Filed under: Plautia stali symbiont
Lineage: Bacteria; Pseudomonadati; Pseudomonadota; Gammaproteobacteria; Enterobacterales; Enterobacteriaceae
Rfam family: tRNA
About the family: Transfer RNA (tRNA) molecules are approximately 80 nucleotides in length. Their secondary structure includes four short double-helical elements and three loops (D, anti-codon, and T loops).
Source: Rfam by way of RNAcentral
GCGCCCGUAGCUCAGCGGGAUAGAGCGCUGCCCUCCGGAGGCAGAGGUCUCAGGUUCGAAUCCUGUCGGGCGCG